AUAAGCUAUUAAGGGCUAAUGGUGGAUGCCUUGACUGUAAGAGGCGAUGAAGGACGUACUAGACUGCGAUAAGCUUUGGGGAGCCGUCAAGAGGCUUUGAUCCAGAGAUUUCCGAAUGGGACAACCCAGCAUAGUGUGAACUAUGUUACUUCAUUUAUGAAGAGCGAACGAAGCGAAGUGAAACAUCUCAGUAGCUUCAGGAAGAGAAAUCAAUUGAGAUUCCGUUAGUAGCGGCGAGCGAAAGCGGAUUAGGGCGGCUAUAUUUAGCAUUUUGGUUAGUAGAAGUUGUUGGAAUGCAACGUCAUAGAGAGUGAAAGCCUCGUAUACGAAAACCUUAAUGUGGAACUAAGAUAGCGAACGAGUAGGUCGGAACACGUGAUAUUUUGACUGAAUAUGGGGGGACCAUCCUCCAACCCUAAAUACUACUUACAGAUCGAUAGUGAACAAGUACCGUGAGGGAAAGGUGAAAAGUACCCCAGUGAGGGGAGUGAAAUAGUACCUGAAACCAUUAGCUUACAAUCAUUCGGAGCCGUAUUGUUUAUCAACGGUGACGGACUGCCUUUUGCAUAAUGAGCCUGCGAGUUGUGGUCAGUGGCAAGGUUAAGCCAAGUGCGAAGCCGUAGCGAAAGCGAGUCUUAAUAGGGCGUCGCCCCCACACUUGUUAAUAUUUUAUACUUUGAAGAAUUAUCUUGAAGAAAUAUUAGUAUAGUUUUUUGAAGUGAUAUUUUUAUAUCGCUGAUAAAAAUAGACUGAUAUUUUAAAAAGAGAAUUUUAUUAGAAAAGUAUAUUGUUAAGUUACAUUUUAAAUAAUCAUCUUGAAUAAAAACUUUUAUCACUUUACAAUAGUAAAGUUUCAAAAACUGUUUUAUCCAAUCUAAUCAUUUAAAAGUGUAAUCAAAGCAUAUAAUAUUAAUAAGUGUGGGGGCAUAUAGUCACUGGCUGCAGACCCGAAACUAAGUGAUCUAUCCAUGAGCAGGUUGAAGCUGGUGUAAGAGCCAGUGGAGGACCGAACCCGCUGACGUUGAAAAGUCAUGGGAUGACUUGUGGAUAGGGGUGAAAGGCCAAUCAAACUUAGUGAUAGCUGGUUCUCUCCGAAAUAUAUUUAGGUAUAGCGUCAUGUAGUAGCAUAUAGGGGUAGAGCACUGAAUGGGCUAGGGCUGCUUACCGCGGUACCAAACCCUAUCAAACUUCGAAUACUAUAUGUGUAAUCAUGGCAGUCAGGCGUAGGGUGAUAAAAUCCUAUGUCGAGAGGGGAACAACCCAGACUACCAGCUAAGGUCCCAAAGUCAAAUUUAAGUGGAAAACGAUGUGAAAUUACUGUGACAACCAGGAGGUUGGCUUAGAAGCAGCCACCCUUUAAAGAAAGCGUAACAGCUCACUGGUCUAGUGAUUUUGCGCGGAAAAUAUAACGGGGCUAAAAUUUGCACCGAAGCUGUAGAUUCAGUAUUUAUACUGUCUGGUAGGAGAGCGUUCUAUUUAGCAUUGAAGCCAUACCGGUGAGGAGUGGUGGAGCAAAUAGAAGUGAGCAUGCAGGCAUGAGUAGCGAUAAAAAAAGUGAGAAUCUUUUUCGCCGAAAACCCAAGGUUUCCUACGCGAUGCUCGUCAUCGUAGGGUUAGUCGGGUCCUAAGACAAGUCCGAAAGGGGUAGUCGAUGGCAAAUUGGUUAAUAUUCCAAUACCAACAUUGUAUUGUUUGAGUGAUGGGGGGACGCAUAGAGUUAAUUGAGGUCACUGAUGGAAUAGUGGCUCGAAGGAUGUAGGUUGAUAAGUAGGAAAAUCCGCUUGUCGUGUAACCGAGAUCUUACAGGCUGAACAAUAUCUUCGGAUAGCGUUUAGAAUCAAUGAUACUGUCGUGCCGAGAAAAGCCUCUAAACGAGAUAUAAUGUUGCCCGUACCGUAAACCGACACAGGUGGGUGAGAUGAGUAUUCUAAGGCGCGUGGAAGAACCCUGGUUAAGGAACUCUGCAAACUAGCACCGUAACUUCGGAAUAAGGUGUGCCUACUUUUGUAUAUGGAUUUACUCCAGAAAGCGAAAGAGGUUGCAACAAAGAGUCCCUCCCGACUGUUUAUCAAAAACACAGCACUUUGCUAACUCGUAAGAGGAUGUAUAAGGUGUGACGCCUGCCCGGUGCUUGAAGGUUAAUUGAUGGGGUUAGCGAUUCAUCGCGAAGCUCUUGAUCGAAGCCCAAGUAAACGGCGGCCGUAACUAUAACGGUCCUAAGGUAGCGAAAUUCCUUGUCGGUUAAAUACCGACCUGCAUGAAUGGCGUAACGAGAUGGGAGCUGUCUCAACCAGGGAUCCAGUGAAAUUGUAGUGGAGGUGAAAAUUCCUCCUACCCGCGGCAAGACGGAAAGACCCCGUGCACCUUUACUAUAGCUUGACACUGCAAUUGGGAUAUAUUUGUGCAGGAUAGGUGGGAGGCUUUGAUGCUGUGGCGCUAGCUGCAGCGGAGCCAUCCUUGAGAUACCACCCUUAUAUAUUCUGAUUGCUAACUUGCGCCAGUUAUCCUGGCGGAGGACAAUGUCUGGUGGGUAGUUUGACUGGGGCGGUCGCCUCCUAAAAAGUAACGGAGGCUUACAAAGGUUGGCUCAUGUCGGUUGGAAAUCGACAGCAGAGUAUAAUGGUACAAGCCAGCUUAACUGCGAGACGUACAUGUCGAGCAGAGACGAAAGUCGGUCAUAGUGAUCCGGUGGUUCUGUGUGGAAGGGCCAUCGCUCAAAGGAUAAAAGGUACGCCGGGGAUAACAGGCUGAUCU
Molecule: ribosomal RNA, 2754 nt
Filed under: metagenome
Description: bacterial LSU rRNA
Rfam family: Bacterial large subunit ribosomal RNA
Source: RNAcentral